Molecule: ribosomal RNA, 626 nt
Filed under: Corynebacterium sp. J010B-136
Lineage: Bacteria; Bacillati; Actinomycetota; Actinomycetes; Mycobacteriales; Corynebacteriaceae
Description: bacterial LSU rRNA
Rfam family: Bacterial large subunit ribosomal RNA
Source: RNAcentral
UUUUGUGGGUGAUGGCGUGCCUUUUGAAGAAUGAGCCUGCGAGUCAGCGGCAUGUCGCGAGGUUAACCCGUGUGGGGUAGCCGUAGGGAAACCGAAUCCUAACUAGGGUGUCAAGUGGCAUGUUCUGGACCCGAAGCGGGGUGAUCUACCCAUGGCCAGUGUGAAGCGAUGGUAAGACGUCGUGGAGGCGCGAACCCACGUAGGUUGAAAACUGCGGGGAUGAGUUGUGGGUAGGGGUGAAAGGCCAAUCAAACUCCGUGAUAGCUGGUUCUCCCCGAAAUGCAUUUAGGUGCAGCGUCGUAGUAGCCUGGUGGAGGUAGAGCUACUGGUUGGUUGAGCGGGACUAUCAUCUUAGCAACAUCAGCCAAACUCCGAAUGCCGCCAGUUGUGUUCUACGGCAGUGAGACUGUGGGGGAUAAGCUUCAUAGUCGAGAGGGAAACAGCCCAGAUCGCCGGUUAAGGCCCCUAAGGGUGUGCUAAGUGGAAAAGGAUGUAAGAUCGCGAAGACAGCCAGGAGGUUGGCUUAGAAGCAGCCAUCCUUGAAAGAGUGCGUAAUAGCUCACUGGUCGAGUGGUUUUGCGCCGACAAUGUAGUGGGGCUCAAGCACACCGCCGAAGCCGCGGCAA